GGAAACGCAUAACACUUUAUUUUAUAUUGUUUUCUGCAAAUAAAUAAAUAUCGUUCAUUAAAGUGUACAAUCCCACUGAUGUCUUAAAAUAAUUAGGGUAAUCGGUGAGAGAGAUUACUUUUUUCAGAGAUGGAUGUUAUAUUCUAUCUUUGAUGCAGGAUAUAUAUAUAUAUAUAUAUAUAUAUAAACUUGAUUGUGAUUUCAUUAAUGCAAAUACGCGAAUAUUUCUCUCAUACUGAGACUGCAUAAUUUUGUUUAGCAAGUUCUGUUCUGUAACACUGUCUCUUUGUGUAGUGCUCGUUCAGUGAUUGCAAAACCACUACUUUUUCCCAUAAUAUUUCUCAGAAACUAUUUUUAUGUUGUAGUUAGUUGAAUCACAAAACAGCACAAAGUCGUUUCUAUAAUUUACUGUU
Molecule: long non-coding RNA, 413 nt
Filed under: Locusta migratoria (migratory locust)
Lineage: Eukaryota; Metazoa; Arthropoda; Insecta; Orthoptera; Acrididae
Description: partial Lnc06653
Source: RNAcentral